GGUGCCACCUAUUACGGAGCAGAAUAGAGGUGAUACUAUGGGUCACAUAGGAGUCCCGGAGGUUGAUACCUCCAAGUAAACUAUUACCAUAAAAGAAGUGUAAGAAAUUGUUUAAGGCUGAAUUUAAACAUUGCUGCUUUCUUUCUAUCGGCUGGUCAUCCUAGUUUAAAUGCAUCAUUACGUCAUAGUUGUCUAUGAAGCAUCGCAGGCGCGUCAAUUGAGGGGGGUUGGAGGGGCCGUCUGUAUAGCUCUAUAGUGAUUUUUGAGGUUAUCUUUUUCCAUGUUCCAGGAAGCUUACGCGUAAAUGUGUCUCAGUGUAAUUAACACUUAUUGUGUUUAAUCCGAGUUUUUGUUUUUACGAAUAGCCUGCUACUGUGAAAUGAGUGAAAUGGAGGCUGAUCUACAUAAGACUUUAGACGAAAUACACCAGAUUGUUACAACAGAUGGUAUCAGUGAAGCAACCGCUUUGUCCCGUAUUAACUCCGUUCUAUCGGCUCAUUAUUUAACGGCUCCGACUCUCACUAUUGCGAGGAAGCUUGUACGCAAUUUGGCUGUUACUGAGGAGGGAAAAUUUAAUCCGCUGAAGUUAGUGGACACGUUGAUGGAACUCGAAUACUUCAUUACUGGGUUCAACAAGGUCCAACGAUCACCGUCAAUCCUUUCUUCUGGCUCCACAUCAGUAUCCAUGCAAAAGGGGUUCGCUGGAAUAAGUAAACCUGUAUGCUCGAAAAAUACCUUGGAUUUACUCGAAAGGAAGGAGGCUUUUUUCAAUUUAAAGGAGAAAAAGACAAAUUACCUACGGGAAGACUUUGAGGCUUUAACAGAUACUCCACGCCGUAAAGUACGGAAACUGCCAGGGGAAAAUGAACCAUCCACGACUCGGAAUGCAUCACGCCAAUUACGUUAUGUUGAAGAAUAUGAGCAGAGAAUGAAUUUACGGUUAAACGAGAAAGAUGGACCGCCAACUCUGGAUCAAUGCAGUGACGGAGUAAUUGUUACCGGCAUUCUGGAUGGAUCGUCGCAAACAGAAAAUCCAAGUGAAGGAGAACAGAUAACUCUUCCUGCUGCAAUUGUUGAUGAAACACCGGUCAUACAGGAUCCGCCCCUUGAUGCCGAGAGGAAUCGUCCUAAUGAACCGGAACCAGUAAUAUCCAAUGGUAGCGCCUCAAGGAAUAUCCAUAAUGCUGAUAGUAACGAUGUUCUGAAUAUCGAACCUGCGAUGAACAAUACUCUAGUGGCGAGACCGCUCAAUCGUAAUCCUCCCGCUAACGUAACCAUCUAUACACGUGGCCGCGACUUUCCAAUGAUUUGUGAUCAUGUGGAGAUACGCAGGCACAUCAAUUACCGCAGAGAGAAUGGUCCAGAAUCAUUGCGGAUUGAAUUGGGGCUCCACGGCAUACACGGACCGUAUCUUUUCGUUGGAAACAUGCAUCGUCUGCGACGCAUAAAAAGUCUCGCCGUCUUUGAUUCUGAUAUGAUGAAUAUAGUGAAUCCCCCUAACAAUGAAGCGAUACACUACGGAUUUCGUCUUACCUACAAUGUUAAGGACCUAAGGAUCAAGAAAAAACGGGAUGCAGCAAUUAAAAUUUUCGGCAAUGGGUUCCAUAGAAGGCUGAUAAGGUCCAAAAGCCUACAAUGCGUUUCAUUAACAGUCUGUUCCGCGGUUCUGUACAAUACUGACGAUUAUUCAAUAGCAACAACGCCCGUGGUCCUUGCAAUUCUAAGAAGAAUGAUAAUUAAAUUCUGCGAGACUGAUAUACACGACAGAUGUCUUGUAUUUCACUUUGGACUGCCUCCAGAAUUUGACAUGGGUACAGGUACUACAAACAACUAAAUGAUGGUAUUCCUGCUAUGGCGAGGUCCGGCACAGCUUUUCUUGUUGCUUCAGAAUUUGACAAGACACGGAAAGUUGCCUGGUUCCUGAUGCACAGUCCGGAGUUAUUUUAUAGAUACCUGAAACAUAAAACAAUGGGCUUUACCAAAAAUUUUCUUAGCUACUAUGAAGCAAUCACCGAAACUCGGCCCGUCAAAUUAUAUUUAGACUUAGAAUGGGUUACUGACGGAAACGAUAAUAUAUUUCCGCACAUUCGUGAUUCCUUCGAGUCAUAUGUCCGAACAUUAAUCGCGGGAAAUAUUCGCUUCUACUGGACCACGUCAUCGAGGGGUACGAAGGCAUCGUACCACCUCGUUGCUGGUGGUCUAUCUUUCCGAACGAAGCAGGAUGUGCGCUCUAUUGUAGAAAACUAUAUUGAACAACUGCCGCCCCACAUAAAAGACGGGUUCAUUGUAGACGGAAAGCUAAUCAUCGACCUACACGUUUACAAUCGCGGUCUGCAGCAAUUUCGAUUACCCUAUUGUAGUUAAUAUGUUUCCCCCUAGGAAUUGAGGACAGGAAUACAGCAACGGCCACUCCUUCCGUUGACCGCAAUAGAUGAAAACAAUUUUAAAGAAUAGCUUGUCCAAGUAAUCCCAGACGCAUCACAAGAACAUCCCUUACAAGAUAUCCAGAAGCAUAAUCCACAGUUUCGAAGGACAUCAACGAUCGUGCCUCACACAGAUAUCAGGGGCCUUAAUCCGCAAAGCUAUAUUCCUUUACCCAUCCUAGAAAGACUAAAGGCCUACUCCACUCCAGGCAUCAUUACAACCUGCUCCACUCGUGAACCAUCCCGGUACAGGGUUUCCUCGACUGGUCGGAUUUGUGUGAUUCGACAAGGCAAACACGCCUCCAACACUAUUUACUUUGAUUUAGACCUACAAGAGAAAACCCUGUACCAGGGCUGUCACGAUGUAGAGUGCGCUCGCUUAUAUUACGGAGGAUCGUACAUGAGACCAAAUUAUGGUCAUCUCACCCGUAUCAUAUACCAGAAGAUGAAACAGAUUCUUUCUUAAGUACGUCCUUUGACGAUGUAUGGUCGCUUGAUACCUGCGCAAAACGUUCCUUUAUCAAGGGACUUGCUCCCUGCGAAUAAGGUCCCCGACUAAGCAAAACCAACUCCUUAAUUUUACACUUUAAAAAUUGUGAAUUGCCUCAUUUAAAUGUAUUGUCCACGUAGGGAAUAAUCUUCUAUAAUGUUACGAUGUUAAGUUUUUAUUCGCCUGACAUUUCCCUCGGUAAACUUAAACGGUCCCCUCCUUAUAAUGAUACGUCGCAAUUUAUCGUGACAAGAAUCUGUGGUACGAGUAAAAUUGGUAUCACAUAAGGCAUUGACGUCUUUAAGAAGGAUACACACCUUUUCCAUGUACCCAACGAUGGGCAACAUUACGAAGACUCCAUUUGUUGCUACCCACUAAUAAAUUUUACGCAUAUUGAUUCUGUACCCAGAAGAUUCUGUAGUAGCUGUUGACUCACCAAUUUCCAUUUAAAGCUUGGUAUUAAUUUUUUUUUAGGAUACUGCCUAAACAACGGAUCGCAGAAUUCAUUAUUACUACCAUGGUAUCAUUCAUUACAUGUGGGCCUUUGUUCUUUUAAUUAUUUACUUAAAAUUAUAUUCUAUCAUAUUGAGGGUUUCACGGAGAAAAAUGGAACAGCGUUCUGAACAUGUUACCGGCUGUGUCUGGUGAGAAUGCGUUAGCGCACAGCUGAGUUGGUGUGAACAUCAGGGGAUAGAUGAGUUCAAGGCAUGGGCCGAAAUUUUUGCCCUGCCCCAACGACAUGUUUGGAACUGUGGUGAACACUUGGAACGCCCGACGAAAAAAUUGCCGCAACCACCGUUUCGCUUCGAUCUAGGAUGCGCGCGCAUCGACGCCGAAGUUGUGUACGUGCAUUCCCGAACGGCGCGGCGACACCAAGGUCGACAAAAGUGCUGAGCAUGUGUAACGGUCUUGAGAUUGCGCGAGCUUAAUGUCGUUUGGUCGUUUCUGAAUUCCCUUAUCCUUAUCUGUGUGUGUGCCCUCGGUUUGAUUCGGAGUCGUAUGAAAGUGUGUUUUUUGACCCACUGAUUUUCCAUCGACAUUAAUAAUCUACUCGGGAGGAAAUAAGUGAGCUCCCAAUGAUCUACGCUUUUGUUUGCGGUGCGGCGUGCCCCUGCCUAUGUGAUCCCUCCAAGUUUUAUCGCAUUUCAGUUCAGCAUUUUGUUUUGACCCAGUGAGUUUUCAGUGAGUUUUUUCUUCUUUUCACAUAAAUUCUGGUCAGUCCUCUACUCAUUCAUACAUAUAUUAAUUAUUCUACAUGCCAUAUGUCUCAGCUCAUGUUAUGUUGAAAGGUUAUGUUUUGCCUGCUCACUUAUACAAAAUAUUCCUUUCAAUCAAAGUUUGUGCUGAAUUUUUAUCUGCCUGAUUCUGCAUUCAUAUUGUGCAAGAUCACAAAUAGAAUUUGAAUACCUCAGUGCUUUCUCCUUUCAUGCCUCGUUCUACCCAUAAGUUCCGCUGUGAAAUAUACUUGUUACUUGCAUUAAUACAAAGAAACAACUCAUUAAUUUUUUUGAAUUGAGUCCCGAUUAUAAAUGAAACCUAUAUUCAAUACCUACUAGGCAUAAAUUUAAGCCGCUUAAGCAGUUUCAGUUCAAAGUAGGUUCCUGUGUCUCAUUACCUCAUUUCAGUGAAUAAGAUUUAAAAUGCGCCUAACCUCAAAUACUCAGUGACGGUUUUCGAGGUAUCUUAAUUUACAUGAAUAAUCAGUGAUGAUGUCUCCGGUAAGUGGAAAUCAUUAUAAUGGUUUGGUUUUGUGAAAUGGAUUUCCUGUAAAAGAUUUCAAAUGCCCAUGCCCUGAAUAGUGUCUCAGUCCACAAGAUUUCUCGACAUAUGACCUCAUAAGUCCUGCAUUAUCCUGUUUCGGUGAGUUCCUUCAUCUUUCAUGUCUCCUUUCCAGUGAUUUGCUUUUGCAGCAUGCCUGUUUCUUCGACAUUAUCUUUUUUUCACUUCUAGGUAUCUAAAGUUUUAUCCCAUUUCUCCUAGGUACUCGCUUCGUUCUAUAUUUUUGUUCCACUCUUCUAUUUUUCCUCUGUAAUUUUUCAAUUUUUUUAAAAUAAAAUACCUAGUAAAAGUUGACAAGGUCUUUAAAAUGUCAAAAUUUGCAUGUUGAUGAGCAUGUUUUCCUCCUCAUUAUAACUUGUAACAUGUUUCACCAAAAACACUAUAGAGGAGACAAAUAAAAAGGUGAGGAAAUUUUAAGAUUUUUUAAAGAUUUUAAAUGUGCUCAGGUUUUUUCUCUUGUUUUUUUUCAUCCUCACUGUUAACUAAAGAAUAGAACAAAGCAACCUCCCCCUCCUCAAGGGGUAAGGGGUGGGGGGGGGGGGGUCGCCCCUCCCAAUAUAACGCCUCCCACCCUCCGCCCCCUCCCCGCGCUGACCACAGGCCAAACUGUACGUAAGGGCAUGGAUUUCCGCAACUGGGUACAUGGAUAUCCGCACCUGGUCGCAUCCGCCGAGGCUGUGCUGAGCACAUCCGGAGGGCUGCGCUCAAGUGCAAAAGAAAUGUUAGAGCAAAAUCGCCGUCCGGGACCCUGUGCUGGAGUCCAUCUUCUGGUGCUGGGCGCUGUUCCAUUUUUCUCCGUGUUAAAUACCUCAGAAAUUAACUCCUCGUAUCCGUGUCCCUUUAUUUUUAGGAUUAAAUUUUAUUAACUAUUUGCAUUACUUAAAUUGCCAUAAUGUACUUUCCUAUGUCCUUUGAAAUUUUCAUCAUUCCUUCCCUUUGAAGCCAGCAUUAUGGGCAAUUGCCAUUCUAUGUGAGAGAAAUGCUUAUACCCCAUGUGUCUUUUGAAAUUUCAUCAUUGCCGUCAUCUGUUCUCCAACUGUUAAUGAUGAAUUUCCCCAACUCUUUACUCUUUUAUUAAUUAUAUAUUUAAAAUUUUAAUCUUUCCUUUAUUAGAUGGUUUAAAAUAUAGGAGAAUUUGACUCAUUGCCUUCCGUCUCUCUCAUUAUUUGUGGGAUUAAUUAUUAUUAAGUCGUUCUUUUAAUUAUUUACUUUAAAUUAAAUUCUAGCAUAUUGAGGGUUUAAAUACAUCAGAAAUUAACUACUUGUAUACGUGUCGCUUUAUUUUUAGGAUAAAAUUUUAUUAACUAUAUGCAUUAUUUAAAUUGACAUAAUGUACUUUCUUAUGUCCUUUGAAAUUUUCAUCAUUCCUUCCCUUUGAAAUCAGCAUUAUCGGCAAUCACCAUUCUAUGUGAGAGAAAUGGUUAUACCCCAUUUGGUUUUGAAAUUUCAUCAUUUCCGUCAUCUGUUCUCCAACUGUUAAUGGUGAAUUUCCCCAACUCUUGACUCUCUUAUUAACUAAAUAUAUAAAAUUUUAAUCUUUUCUUCAUUUUGAUGGUUUAAAAUAUAGGAGAAUUUGACUCAUUGCCUUCCGUCUCUCUAAUUAUUUGUGGGAUUACUUUUUAUUAAGUCUAUGGCCAAUUUAAAUUGCCAUAAUGUAUUUUGUUAUGUCUCUUUAACAUGUGUAUCACUUCCGGAUUUCUUGAAUCGAGGAUUAAUAGGACUGUCCAUUUUUAUAACAGAAAUGGUUAUACCACAUGAGUCUUUUGAAAAUUUUCAUAACAUCCGUUCGAUAUAUGAAUGUUUUCUCCAACUUUGGACUCCCUAAAUACAAAAGGGAGGAUUAAUUACUUUUUUAAGAACUAGAUGCCAUUGGAAUCUCCAUUUGAAUACUGAAUACCUUAUACA
This 6597-nucleotide long non-coding RNA is filed under the name Bemisia tabaci. RNAcentral's name for it is "lncRNA ENSSSA1NGG005304". Lineage: Eukaryota; Metazoa; Arthropoda; Insecta; Hemiptera; Aleyrodidae. The record is from RNAcentral.